RNAcentral lists this long non-coding RNA (241 nucleotides) under Elaeis guineensis (African oil palm). RNAcentral's name for it is "long non-coding RNA (EGUI_LNC021948)". The record is from RNAcentral. Lineage: Eukaryota; Viridiplantae; Streptophyta; Magnoliopsida; Arecales; Arecaceae.
AGGGUAUUCUGAUUUGAAGUGGCCAGGCUUCUUUCACUCAUAGUAAAUUAUGGGCUGCUCCUUUUCUUUCUUUUUACUUGGCUCCUCCUUAGCUGGUGGCCUUCUCUUGGUCCCUUAUCUUUUCCUUCUCAUGAACCGUCUGAAUUUUUUAGUGAUCAGGGCCAAGUCCUCAUCUUCUUCACUAUUGUCUAAUUUUUCUAAGUCAUCCUCUUUUCGAGCUGUUGACUUAAGGACUAUGGUC